This is a long non-coding RNA of Acipenser ruthenus (sterlet), 550 nucleotides long. RefSeq lists it as uncharacterized. The transcript has 5 exons. The record is from RefSeq and is a predicted model, not a curated record. Lineage: Eukaryota; Metazoa; Chordata; Actinopteri; Acipenseriformes; Acipenseridae.
CCUGGCUAUCAUUGUAAAUUAGAGCCAGGUGCAGGGUACUUAAGGAGAGCAGUCAGUCUGCUCAGGGCUGCUGCUGUGUGAAGAGCCUAACUGUGUGUCGUUAAAAGGAAAAAAAGUUGCAAGCUCCUGUUAUGAAACUACAGAGUACACAAUGCACCCGACCGGACCCUGUUGCAGUGUCAAAAUAUUAUUUUUCAGAGAUUGUCUAAGAAAAAGGUCUACAGUGGAGCUACCACAUCCAUAGUGCCGGAGGACAACAUAGAUCCGAGUGGCUUCUACAGCAGACCCGCAGGUGACCUGGUCAGCCACAGGAGUCGCUGGUGAAACUGGAGGAAGCGGUGUGUAACUGCACAAUAAAAGACGGACGGAUUUGCGCAUGCGAACCAAACGCAAAAUAAGACAAAAAAUGCUGACCUUUACGGAUGUAACAUUGAAGAGAUGGGCUUUGUAUCAACUCGUGACGGAGUCGGAAAUCGCAUGUGACGGCAAAGAAAGCUCAGGGAAUACCGCAGAGUGAAUAACAUCCGCAACAGGCCAUGUUAAAGAGCUG